This 935-nucleotide ribosomal RNA is filed under the name uncultured archaeon. RNAcentral describes it as "bacterial SSU rRNA". It matches the Rfam family "Archaeal small subunit ribosomal RNA", at positions 10 to 922 of the family's 1478-position model. The record is from RNAcentral.
GAUCCUGCCGGACCCUACUGCUAUCAGGAUAAGACUAAGCCAUGCGAGUCAUGCGCUCUCCGGCCACGUGGAGAGUGCGGCGUACGGCUCCGUAACACGUAGCUAACCUACCCUUAGGAUGAGGACAACCCCGGGAAACUGGGGCUAAUACUCGAUAGGCGAAGGUACCUGGAAUGGUUCUCCACUGAAAGGGCAUUAGAAACAUGCUUCUAAUGUUGCCUAAGGAUGGGGCUGCGUCCGAUCAGGUUGUUGGUGGGGUAACGGCCUACCAAGCCUAUAACCGGUACGGGCCCUGAGAGGGGUAGCCCGGAGAUGGGAACUGAGACAAGGUCCCAGGUCCUACGGGGCGCAGCAGGCGCGAAAACUCCACAAUGCACGAAAGUGUGAUGGGGUUAUCCUGAGUGACGUCCGUGAGGAUGGCUUUUACCUAGUGUAAGGGACUAGGAGAAUAAAGGGGGGGCAAGUCUGGUGUCAGCCGCCGCGGUAAUACCAGCUCCCUAAGUGGUAGGGACGAUUAUUUGGCCUAAAGCGUCCGUAGCCGGCUCAGUAAGUCUUUAGUUAAAUCUAACGACUUAAUCGUUAGAACGCCGAAGAUACUACUGGACUAGAGGAUGGGAGAGGUUGACGGUAGUCCUGGGGUAGGGGUGAAAUCCUAUAAUCCCAGGAGGACCACCAGUGGCGCAGGCGGUCAACUAGAACAUGCCUGACGGUGAUGGACGAAAGCUGGGGGAGCGAACCGGAUUAGAUACCCGGGUAGUCCCAGCUGUAAACGAUGCGGGCUAGGUGUUGGAACAGCUAUGAGCUGUUCCAGUGCCGCAGAGAAGUCGUUAAGCUCGCCGCCUGGGAAGUACGGUCGCAAGGCUGAAACUUAAAGGAAUUGGCGGGGGAGCACCACAAGGGGUGAAGGCUGCGGUUUAAUUGGAGUCAACGCCGGA